This is a small nucleolar RNA of Gastrolobium bilobum, 107 nucleotides long. The record is from RefSeq and is a predicted model, not a curated record. NCBI's taxonomy places the organism in Eukaryota, Viridiplantae, Streptophyta, Magnoliopsida, Fabales, Fabaceae.
AUUCCAUGUUGUGGACAUUUCCUCUAGAGUGUUUUGAAUCUUUCCCAAGCUUCAUAGAUAGACUCUGAUUCUUUUUGUUUGAACCCUGUGAUCUCAUCCUUCAAUUU